RNAcentral lists this long non-coding RNA (551 nucleotides) under Mytilus galloprovincialis (Mediterranean mussel). Lineage: Eukaryota; Metazoa; Mollusca; Bivalvia; Mytilida; Mytilidae. The record is from RNAcentral.
GUAAAAAAUUAUAAAAGAAAAAGUUCAAAUCCAACAAAAAUAUAGAAUAAAUUCAAAUGUAUAAAGAUGUUUAAUUGAUGUAAAAUAAAUCAAUGGUCAGCAAGUAAAAACAAUGUUCAUGACGAUAAAUAUUACAUAAUACAGGAAAUAGAUUGAUUACCAAAAUAGAUAUAAAUAAGUAUGCGAACACGAGUCGGUUUGCAUUGGUUUUGUCCAUUGACCCGGGAUCGUAGAUUAGGUUUUAUCCAUCAUGACUGGAAGUGUCAUUUUAUAUGAUCGUUGAUAAAUACUUUAUAAUAAAGUGGACAAGCAAGACAAAAAGAGUAAUGAGUAGAGUAAAAAAAUGAAAAAGCAAAUGGAGGAUAAAGAGUAUUAAAAAAAAUAAGGAAGCGAGAAUUUCAGACAUCUUGACUAUCACUAUCAGAUUGCACCUGGCUAUCUAGGAUGGAAAUUCAGAAAAUAAAUUAUUUUUUUGUUUUUAUAUUUAUAGAUCAAAGGUCAAAAUUAUUUGUUGUCAGAGUGUUAAAUAGAAGGGAUGCUUUAACUGCCCA